UUAUUUGUUAUGAAUUAGAAUUUAAUAUGUACUAUCUUACAUCAUUGCUAUAAGCAUAAUGUGAAAUAUAUAUGAAAGUAAUUUUAAAUUUUCAGUAAAGUAUUAUUUUUAUAAUUAUUCUUAUCAUUUAAUUCUUGAUUUACAUUCAAGAGGGCUCAUCAGUAAUAUACUAAAAGAACCUAUACAACUUAUUUGUAAGGGUAUGUAUAGUCUAAAUUAUACUGUGUAUACCUUUAAAUAGCAUUCCUUCUUGUAUUUUGCAGUUUUCCACCUCUCUAGUUCUCUUGGCCAUGAACCUGCCUAUUCCAACCCCUUCCCCAAAAUUUCUACUUAUUUUUCUCAUAUCUACUAUAGCACACUCCUAGUUGUAUUUAUAUGUACUAGUUAUUAUAUAGACAGAAUUAAUAUAUACAUUAAAUUUAUCCUACCACAAUUUUUAAAAUUGAUUCAUUAUUAAUGAAAUGUUAUGAUCUGUUUUCCCAAAAGGUAUGUACUCAGGAAAAGUUAGAAAUCCUGUGGAUUACAAAGGUAACUAGGUUUCCUCAAGAGGUGAUGAAUUCCUCUUCUGUAGAAGUCUUCAAACAGAGACCGAAUGACAAUUUGUCAGGUUUCUCAAGAUUGAUGCAGCUUGGUUUAAACCCAUGGCAUAUAGACAUGAAGAAAAUAAAUGGGUGGAAGUUACUUAAAGUCUCUUGACAUUUAUAUGAGGUAUUGUCAGCAUCAGAGAAGAAUAACUAGCCAAUUAAUUAUCCUUCUGUUUACAUCUUAAUAGUUAAAUUUAACCAAUGACUAUGCUUCCGUCAUAGCUAUUUUGCUAUUGCUGCAUUAGAUUAAGUGAAUUGGGGAAUGAGAGUCUUGUGAUUUUCAACUCUUAUUUAUUAAUGGAUAAUUGCAUUGAAACAAUUAACCUUCAAAAAUCACCUAACCAGAGGUGAAUUUACUGUUUUUCUAAUGAUGUUUUUCUUGUUUCCUGAAUAGUAACUUUACAUUUCUGUGCUGGCUAGAUGAUUAUGAAAUUCACAUUAAUAUACUAAUAUGUAUAUCAUUUCUUUUGGUGGCACUUAUAGACUAAUGAAAAUAUCUCUUGAGCAUCCUCUCAUAGAAAAUAAAUUUCAUUUUAUUUAAUAUUUUUCUUGCUUG
RNAcentral lists this long non-coding RNA (1140 nucleotides) under Monodelphis domestica (gray short-tailed opossum). RNAcentral describes it as "lncRNA (ENSMODG00000047904.1)". The record is from RNAcentral. Lineage: Eukaryota; Metazoa; Chordata; Mammalia; Didelphimorphia; Didelphidae.